CAGUAGCCGCGGUAAUACGUAGGUCCCGAGCGUUGUCCGGAUUUAUUGGGCGUAAAGCGAGCGCAGGCGGUUAGAUAAGUCUGAAGUUAAAGGCUGUGGCUUAACCAUAGUACGCUUUGGAAACUGGUUAACUUGAGUGCAAGAGGGGAGAGUGGAAUUCCAUGUGUAGCGGUGAAAUGCGUAGAUAUAUGGAGGAACACCGGUGGCGAAAGCGGCUCUCUGGCUUGUAACUGACGCUGAGGCUCGAAAGCGUGGGGAGCAAACAGGAUUAGAUACCCCCGUAGUCCCUGUCUCUUAUACC
RNAcentral lists this ribosomal RNA (301 nucleotides) under uncultured bacterium. Its description in RNAcentral is "partial 16S ribosomal RNA". It matches the Rfam family "Bacterial small subunit ribosomal RNA", at positions 509 to 808 of the family's 1533-position model. The record is from RNAcentral.